Long non-coding RNA from Cyprinus carpio carpio, 1156 nucleotides. The record is from Ensembl. Lineage: Eukaryota; Metazoa; Chordata; Actinopteri; Cypriniformes; Cyprinidae.
CAAUAAAAAAAAAAAAGUAACAAUGUGAUUUUGAUUCAACAUCUUGCUUGCACUCUCAGUGCAACACAACAACAACUGACUUAAAGGCAUACUCCAUCCCAAAAUGGAAAUUGUCAUUAUUCACUUACCCCCAUGUCGUUCCAAACCCGUAAAAGUUUUGUUUGUCUUCGGAACACAAUUUAAGAUAUUUUGGAUGAAAAAAGGGAGUCUUGAGACUAUCCCAGUAUUCCCGUCGCUUCAUAACUUAAUUAAAAAUCUAUUUAAUUGCAAAUUUAGUUUCCCACCCACACCAACACAGAGAGAAAGACACAAGAAAUCUCAAAUGGCGUUUUAUUACAUUAAAAGCUAAGCCUUUUAAAAAAAAAACAAAUAUCCAAAUCACAAUCUCCUCCUCAACCCAGCAGAGACAAUAAAACCAUAACUUGUCCAAUAUUCUGCCCAGGGUAAUACCAAAGUCCGGUCUGAAAUCAGCCCAGUGAUUCCCCUGCCACUGGUAAAAAUAAAUGUCUGUUUCAGUAGGAUCUCAAAUGACCGGCUUCAACCGAAUCCAGGACCAGGAUCUCCACAGCGCCGCCCCGCGUCUGUCAGUGGGAAAUCAGAAAAAGUAAUUGGGUAGUUUGCACGUAGCCGACAACUGCCAAAACUCAGAUGAAUGGAAUAACAACUUUCCUUUCCUAUACUUCAAAUGGACACAUCAGCAAUACUAUCGUGUCUGCCACUCUGCCGUCGGCUCCCCCGAAUCUGUCACCUUUACAGAGAUGAACAACUAAGAACGACUCCUUUAACACAAUGCUAAGCACACACACACGCGUGCAUUAGCGUGGAAAAAAGAAAGAAUCACUUUCCUUCAAUCGGGGGUUCGUGAGCGUUGACACUGCAGAAUCCGAGAUUCCGUUCUACCAGCGUACAGGAGAUCCAGUCAGCAACAACACAGAGCGGCGAGAUCAGUGAGCGCCCACCCGCUUCAGUACACGGCUCGUUCCUCCGUCCAGAGCGUUCCCCCGUCUAUGGGACAGUCUCAAGCCGAUUUUCAUCCAAAAUAUCUUAAAAUUGUGUUCCGAAGACGAACAAAGCUUUUACGGAUUUGGAACGACAUGGGGGUAAGUGAUUAAUGACAAAAUUUUCAUUUUGCAGUGGAGUAACCCUUUAAAGCCAC